CGGAUAGUAGCGUAAUAGGUAACGUGUCUAGUUUGGGAUUAGAAGAUUGUAAGUUCAAAUCUUGCCUAUCCGA
RNAcentral lists this transfer RNA (73 nucleotides) under Mycoemilia scoparia. It matches the Rfam family "tRNA". From Rfam's summary of the family: Transfer RNA (tRNA) molecules are approximately 80 nucleotides in length. Their secondary structure includes four short double-helical elements and three loops (D, anti-codon, and T loops). Further hydrogen bonds mediate the characteristic L-shaped molecular structure. tRNAs have two regions of fundamental functional importance: the anti-codon, which is responsible for specific mRNA codon recognition, and the 3' end, to which the tRNAs corresponding amino acid is attached (by aminoacyl-tRNA synthetases). tRNAs cope with the degeneracy of the genetic code in two manners: having more than one tRNA (with a specific anti-codon) for a particular amino acid; and 'wobble' base-pairing, i.e. permitting non-standard base-pairing at the 3rd anti-codon position. The record is from Rfam by way of RNAcentral. Lineage: Eukaryota; Fungi; Kickxellomycota; Kickxellomycetes; Kickxellales; Kickxellaceae.